UUAGAGUUUGAUCAUGGCUCAGGAUUAACGCUAGCGGCAGGCAUAAUACAUGCAAGUUGAACGAGAUUAGUUUUAGCAAUAGAACUUUUUUAGUGGCGCACGGGUGCGUAACGCGUAUGUAACCUACCUUAAACAGGGGAAUAGCCUCUCGAAAGAGAGAUUAAUACCGCAUAAUAUAUAUUUAGAGCAUUCUAGAUAUAUUAAACCUACGGGGGUUUAAGAUGGGCAUGCGUGACAUUAGCUAGUUGGUGAGGCAAUGGCUCACCAAGGCAACGAUGUCUAGGGGGUCUGAGAGGAUGUCCCCCCACACUGGUACUGAGACACGGACCAGACUCCUACGGGAGGCAGCAGUAGGGAAUAUUGGUCAAUGGAGGCAACUCUGAACCAGCCAUGCCGCGUGCAGGACUAAGGCCCUAUGGGUCGUAAACUGCUUUUGAACGGGAAGAAAUGUAUCUACGUGUAGAUAUUUGACGGUACCGUUAGAAUAAGGAUCGGCUAACUUCGUGCCAGCAGCCGCGGUAAUACGAAGGAUCCAAGCGUUGUCCGGAUUUACUGGGUUUAAAGGGUGCGUAGGCGGACUUAUAAGUCAGUGGUGAAAGCCUUCAGCUUAACUGAAGAACUGCCAUUGAAACUGUAAGUCUCGAGUUCGGUUGAGGUCAUUGGAAUGUAACAUGUAGCGGUGAAAUGCAUAGAUAUGUUACAGAACACCAAUUGCGAAGGCAGAUGACUAAACCGAAACUGACGCUGAGGCACGAAAGCGUGGGGAUCAAACAGGAUUAGAUACCCUGGUAGUCCACGCCCUAAACGUUGAAUACUCGACCUUAGCGAUAUACAGUUAGGGUCCAAGCGAAAGCGUUAAGUAUUCCACCUGGGAAGUACGUUCGCAAGAAUGAAACUCAAGGAAUUGACGGGGCCCGCACAAGC
This 924-nucleotide ribosomal RNA is filed under the name uncultured bacterium. RNAcentral's name for it is "bacterial SSU rRNA". It matches the Rfam family "Bacterial small subunit ribosomal RNA", at positions 1 to 930 of the family's 1533-position model. The record is from RNAcentral.